This 490-nucleotide ribosomal RNA is filed under the name uncultured bacterium. Its description in RNAcentral is "partial 16S ribosomal RNA". It matches the Rfam family "Bacterial small subunit ribosomal RNA", at positions 30 to 507 of the family's 1533-position model. The record is from RNAcentral.
AUUGAACGCUGGCGGCAUGCUUUACACAUGCAAGUCGAACGGCAGCACGAAAGAGCUUGCCCUUUUGGUGGCGCGUGGCGAACGGGUGUGUAAUGCAUCGGAACGUACCGAGUAAUGGGGGAUAACUGUCCGGAAGGAUAGCUAUUACCGCAUACGCUUUGAGAAGGUAAGUGGGGGCUCUUCGGACCCCACGUUAUUCUAUCGGCCGAUGUCUGAUUAGCUAGUUGGUGGGGUAAAGGCCUACCAAGGCGACGAUCAGUAGCGGGUCUGAGAGGAUGAUCCGCCACACUGGGACUGAGACACGGCCCAGACUCCUACGGGAGGCAGCAGUGGGGAAUUUUGGACAAUGGGCGCAAGCCUGAUCCAGCCAUGCCGCGUGUCUGAAGAAGGCCUUCGGGUUGUAAAGGACUUUUGUUAGGGAAGAAAAGGAUAGUGUUAAUACCAUUAUCUGCUGACGGUACCUAAAGAAUAAGCACCGGCUAACUACGUG